RNAcentral lists this ribosomal RNA (109 nucleotides) under Sinocyclocheilus anshuiensis. Lineage: Eukaryota; Metazoa; Chordata; Actinopteri; Cypriniformes; Cyprinidae. The record is from RNAcentral.
GCUUACGGCUAUACCACCCUGUCUGUGCCUGAUCUUGGAAACUAAGCAGAGUCAGGCCUGGUUAGUACUUUGAUGGGAGACCGCCUGGGAAUACCAGGUGCUGUAANNN